This 82-nucleotide transfer RNA is filed under the name Candidatus Daviesbacteria bacterium RIFCSPHIGHO2_01_FULL_38_8. RNAcentral's name for it is "tRNA-Leu". It matches the Rfam family "tRNA". Rfam says of the family: Transfer RNA (tRNA) molecules are approximately 80 nucleotides in length. Their secondary structure includes four short double-helical elements and three loops (D, anti-codon, and T loops). The record is from RNAcentral. Lineage: Bacteria; Candidatus Daviesiibacteriota.
GCUGGUGUGGUGGAACGGUAUACACGUUGGACUUAAAAUCCAAUGCCUUCUGGGCUUGUGGGUUCGAAUCCCACCUCCAGCA